This 524-nucleotide ribosomal RNA is filed under the name uncultured bacterium. RNAcentral's name for it is "bacterial SSU rRNA". It matches the Rfam family "Bacterial small subunit ribosomal RNA", at positions 777 to 1297 of the family's 1533-position model. The record is from RNAcentral.
AAUAGAUACCCCGGUAGUCCUAGCCGUAAACGAUGGACACUAGUUGCUGGAAGAGUCAAUCCUUCGGUGACGAAGCUAACGCAUUAAGUGUCCCGCCUGGGAAGUACGCCCGCAAGGGUGAAACUCAAAGGAAUUGACGGGGGCCCGCACAAGCGGUGGAGCAUGUGCUUUAAUUCGAUGCAACGCGAAGAACCUUACCUAGAUUUGACAUGGGGGUGAAAUUCUGUAGAAAUAUGGAACCUUCCGCAAGGAACACCCUACACAGGUGCUGCAUGGUUGUCGUCAGCUCGUGUCGUGAGAUGUUAGGUUAAGUCCUGCAACGAGCGCAACCCUGCCCUUAGUUGCCAUCAGGUAAUGCUGGGAACUCUAAGGGGACCGCCUGGUUUAACCAGGAGGAAGGUGGGGAUGACGUCAAAUCCGUCAUGGCCCUUAGUCUAGGGCUAGACACGUGCUACAAUGGUAGAUACAGCGGGAUGCAAGCUGGUGACAGCAAGCCAAUCCCUUAAAAUCUAUCUCAGUCCGGA